UACAUAGGGUCCGAGCGUUGUCCGGAAUCAUUGGGCGUAAAGCGCAUGUAGGCGGCCCUUUAAGUCGGAUGUGAAAUCCCGAGGCUCAACUUCGGAACUGCAUCCGAUACUGGGGGGCUUGAGGAAGGUAGAGGAGAGUGGAAUUCCCGGUGUAGCGGUGGAAUGCGCAGAUAUCGGGAGGAACACCAGCGGCGAAGGCGGCUCUCUGGGCCUCUCCUGACGCUGAGAUG
RNAcentral lists this ribosomal RNA (230 nucleotides) under uncultured microorganism. RNAcentral's name for it is "partial 16S ribosomal RNA". It matches the Rfam family "Bacterial small subunit ribosomal RNA", at positions 524 to 753 of the family's 1533-position model. The record is from RNAcentral.